GAUGAACGCUGGCGGCGUGCCUAAUACAUGCAAGUCGAGCGCUCAGACGAGGAGCUUGCUCCUCUUACGUUAGCGGCGGACGGGUGAGUAACACGUGGAUAACCUACCUUUAAGACUGGGAUAACUUCGGGAAACCGGAGCUAAUACCGGAUAAUAUAUUGAACCGCAUGGCUCAAUUUUGAAAGACGCUUUUGCUGUCCUUUAUAGAUGGCUCCGCGCCUCUUUACCUAGAUGGUAAGGAAACGGCUUACUAAGGCAACGUAGAUAAGCCGACCUGAGAGGGUGAUCGGCCACACGGGAACUGAGACACGGUCCAGACUCCUACGGGAGGCAGCAGUAGGGAAUCUUCCGCAAGGGGCGAAAGCCUGACGGAGCAACGCCGCGGGAUGAAUGAAGUUCUUCGGAUCGUAAAACUCUGUUAUUAGGGAAGAACAAAUGUGUAAGUAACUAUGCACGUCUUGACGGUACCUAAUCAGAAAGCCACGGCUAACUACGUG
Molecule: ribosomal RNA, 497 nt
Filed under: uncultured bacterium
Lineage: Bacteria
Description: partial 16S ribosomal RNA
Rfam family: Bacterial small subunit ribosomal RNA
Source: RNAcentral